UACGACUACAUAUCAGGCAUAUCAAUAAGCGGAGGAAAAGAAACUAACUAAGGAUUCCCUCAGUAACGGCGAGUGAAGCGGGAAGAGCUCAAAUUUGAAAUCUUCAAGGUUCUACCUUGACGAAUUGUAGUUUAAAGAAGUGUUUUCUGUUGAAGUUUUGGUAAAAGUUCUUUGGAAUAGGACAUCAUAGAGGGUGAGAAUCCCGUAUUUGACCAUUAUUUUCAGCUGUGUGAUACACUUUCAAAGAGUCGGAUUGUUUGGGAAUGCAGUCCAAAAUGGGUGGUAAAUUUCAUCUAAAGCUAAAUAUUGGCGAGAGACCGAUAGCGAACAAGUACCGUGAGGGAAAGAUGAAAAGAACUUUGAAAAGAGAGUUAAACAGUACGUGAAAUUGUCAAAAGGGAAGCGUUUGACACCAGUGUUGUUUUCUCGAAAAUCAAUUAAAAAAAGUUGGAUUUUGUGUUGUAUUGACCUUAACAGCUUGCUUCACUCUUUUCCAGCUUUUUUUAAUGCACUUUUCGUUUAACAAGUCAACAUCAGUUUCUUUUGUUGUAAAAGGGUCAUUGGAAGGUGGCUUUCUCUUCGGAGAAAGUGUUUAUAGCCUUUGAUCUCUGCAAUCGGAGAGACUGAGGUCUGCAGCGUAGAUCCUUCGGGGUUAGAUACAUUUGUGCUAAGCUACAGCUUUUCAUAGACAACUUGUUGACUAUGUUUAGUCUUGUAACUUACCCGCUUAUGCUAUUUUACCUACGCUUAGGAUGUUGAGCGCAUGUCUCUCUCU
RNAcentral lists this ribosomal RNA (775 nucleotides) under uncultured Neocallimastigales. RNAcentral describes it as "partial large subunit ribosomal RNA". It matches the Rfam family "Eukaryotic large subunit ribosomal RNA", at positions 24 to 616 of the family's 3401-position model. Lineage: Eukaryota; Fungi; Neocallimastigomycota; Neocallimastigomycetes; Neocallimastigales. The record is from RNAcentral.